CUGGUUUUCAUGUGCAAAAAUGGCGUGGGGAGAAUUUUGCCGAAGUGGCAAAAUGUUUCCCCCCAAAAAAGAUCAACAAUUUUGGUGGUUUUCUAAAAAGAAAAAAAAGCUCAGCUUUGCAGGGGUGUCAGGAAUUUUACUUUUUGAAAUAUGGCAACCCUAAAAAGGGGUGGUGCCGUCCCAUAGAAUCGCACGGGAAAGCUGCAAUCCUGGGCACGUUUCUUUGGGAAUAAGCCCAUUGAAGUCAACAUUUCCUGCUGAGUAAAUAUGCAGAGGGGAUCCCACUGCACUGCAGAGCAAAGCCUCUGCCCAUUUUCCUAGGUGCGGAGCAAAGCAAACAAACGCAAGGAAGGUAUUUGUUCUGUCCGUUUACAACAUCAAAUUCAACAUCACUUCACGAGUGCCUUGUGGUCAGAAAGCCUCUCCUAAUCUAAGUGAGGAUUGUGGUCCGUGCGGAAUCUGGUGGCGAUAGCGUAUUCCAGAGUACAAGGUUGCGCUAUUGUGCUCGUGUCGCACAGCCACCCUUCAAACGUGGCCAGAAUCCGCGCGAGAGCCACGACUCUUUGCCCUACUUCUUUCUCGCCCUCUCCGGGACUCUUCCUGAGGCGGAAAGGCGACGCGCCACCAAACCCCACUGAGGCGAGUGGGACCUUUCCGACCACGAGCGCCUCCAAACGCCCUUUCCUCGUCCCCAGUCAGUACGAGGCAAGGAAGGCGCCUCUCCUGCCUCCCUCCCUCCCUGUCAGAGCCCCCUCGAAAGAGCUCGAAGGGCCGAAUGGACGCGGAGCCCGAGAGCGCGGCUCGGACGCCCCUGGCUCUCUGCCCCUCCCGCCCGGCGAGCCAAGAGGGGCGGCCCCGGCCAUGCCAGUCCCCUGUCUCCGCCCCUCGGCUGGGCCGCUCCUCCUCCUCAGCGCCAGCGCCAGAGAGGCAGCCGGAGAGCGCCAAGCCGAUCGCCUUCGGAGAGUUUCGCGGAGCAGCUGUGCGGGAGGGGGCGGGCGGCACGGAAGGCAGAGACGGGGGUCCGGCGAGACCCCCGAGACCCUGCGCUCCUUUUCCUGCUCCUCGCACGAACUUAUGCAUAAGAAACUGCUGUACAGGAAUACAUGCCACUGAGAGAAGCAGACCAAGCUGAAACACAUCUGGCAUUCCAG
Molecule: long non-coding RNA, 1151 nt
Filed under: Podarcis muralis (Common wall lizard)
Lineage: Eukaryota; Metazoa; Chordata; Lepidosauria; Squamata; Lacertidae
Description: lncRNA (ENSPMRG00000005588.1)
Source: RNAcentral